CGCUGGGGGGUUUUCCCUGUGCACGUCGUUCUUUCUUUGUUUGACUCCGUUCCUCUCUUUCCUUCACACACACACACCUUGUGCACCUGUUGUAGGUCUCUCUCGAUAAAGAGGACCUAUGUUUUUUCACAUCACACCCUUAUCGUAUGUCCAUAGAAUGUAUGGGAAAAUGAUAUAUACAACUUUCAGCAACGGAUCUCUUGGCUCUCGCAUCGAUGAAGAACGCAGCGAAUUGCGAUAAGUAAUGUGAAUUGCAGAUUUUCAGUGAAUCAUCGAAUCUUUGAACGCAUCUUGCGCUCCUUGGUAUUCCGAGGAGCAUGCCUGUUUGAGUGUCAUUGAAUUCUCAACCAUGUGUCUUGAUUGAUUCAUGGCUUGGAGGUUGGGGGUUGCUGGCGGCGAUCUGGCUGUUGGCUCUCCUGAAAUGCAUUA
This 429-nucleotide unclassified non-coding RNA is filed under the name Boletaceae sp. 13 CG-2012. Its description in RNAcentral is "sequence contains ITS1, 5.8S rRNA gene, ITS2". The stretch from base 181 to 335 matches the Rfam family "5.8S ribosomal RNA". The record is from RNAcentral. Lineage: Eukaryota; Fungi; Basidiomycota; Agaricomycetes; Boletales; Boletaceae.